GGCUUAUUGAAUUAUAAUUUUAAGUCAAUUCUGCCCAAUGAUAAAAAUUUAAUGGCUGCAGUAUAAUUGACUGUACAAAGGUAGCAUAAUCAUUUGUUUUUUAAUUGAGAACUGGUAUGAAAGAGUUAAUGAGAUAUAUACUGUCUCAUAUAUAUUUAAUAAAUUUAAAUUUUUAGUUAAAAUGCUAGAAUUAAUUUAUGGGACGAUAAGACCCUAUAGAAUUUUAUAUUAAUGUAUUGAUUAUAAUUUAAUUAUUAUAUAUUAAUAUUUUGUUGGGAGGACAGGUAAAUUUAAUAAACUUUAUUUAAAAUAAUAACUUUAAUUAAAGAAUAAAUUUUUUGAUCUUUUAUUAAGAAUUGAAAGAAUAAAUUACCUUAGGGAUAACAGCGUAAUAUCUUUUUAAAGAUCGAAUUGAAAAAGAUGAUUGCGACCUCGAUGUUGAAUUAAGAUAAAUUUUAAAUGGAGAAAUUUAAUAAUUAAGUCUGUUCGACUUUUAAAAUCUUACAUGAUUUGAGUUCAAAUCGACGUGAGU
RNAcentral lists this ribosomal RNA (532 nucleotides) under Bombus tunicatus. RNAcentral describes it as "partial 16S ribosomal RNA". The stretch from base 380 to 532 matches the Rfam family "Bacterial large subunit ribosomal RNA", at positions 2473 to 2626 of the family's 2925-position model. The record is from RNAcentral. Lineage: Eukaryota; Metazoa; Arthropoda; Insecta; Hymenoptera; Apidae.